UACAGAGGUCUCAAGCGUUGUUCGGAUUCAUUGGGCGUAAAGGGUGCGUAGGCGGCGCCGUAAGUCAGGUGUGAAAUUUCGAGGCUUAACCUCGAAACUGCAUUUGAUACUGCGGUGCUUGAGGACUGGAGAGGAGACUGGAAUUCAUGGUGUAGCAGUGAAAUGCGUAGAGAUCAUGAGGAAGACCAGUGGCGAAGGCGGGUCUCUGGACAGUUCCUGACGCUGAGGCACGAAGGCCAGGGGAGCAAACGGG
RNAcentral lists this ribosomal RNA (253 nucleotides) under uncultured bacterium. RNAcentral's name for it is "partial 16S ribosomal RNA". It matches the Rfam family "Bacterial small subunit ribosomal RNA", at positions 524 to 776 of the family's 1533-position model. The record is from RNAcentral.